AAGUCGUAACAAGGUUUCCGUAGGUGAACCUGCGGAAGGAUCAUUACUGAGAGAGGGGCUUCGCGCUCCCGGGGGCUUCGGCCUCCAACUCUUCACCCAUUGUCUACCUACCUAUGUUGCUUUGGCGGGCCUCGGGUACCAUCCCGUGUCGGCCUACCGGUCGGCGAGCGCCCGUCGGAGGCCAAUCAAAUCCUAUUUAUUAGUGAUGUCCGAGUAAAAACACAAUAGUCAAAACUUUCAACAACGGAUCUCUUGGUUCCA
RNAcentral lists this unclassified non-coding RNA (261 nucleotides) under Flavocetraria sp. Its description in RNAcentral is "partial contains small subunit ribosomal RNA, internal transcribed spacer 1, and 5.8S ribosomal RNA". The stretch from base 1 to 46 matches the Rfam family "Eukaryotic small subunit ribosomal RNA", at positions 1786 to 1831 of the family's 1831-position model. The record is from RNAcentral. Lineage: Eukaryota; Fungi; Ascomycota; Lecanoromycetes; Lecanorales; Parmeliaceae.